CGGACUGACUCCUCGGCGCCUGGACUUAUCUCCGCUCUUCUACUGACUACAAGGUUUUCUACAAACAUGUCUAAAGCCCAACAGCUGAGGGACAGGCUGAAACAACUGCCAGCAGCUGCUGAUGAAGAACUGUUUGAAUUGUUAGCAGGAGUGACCGCAAACUAUGAAGAAGAAAUUAAUCGUUUAAAAGAAGAGAACAAAGGACGGAAAGUUCUGGAAGCUGCUUUUAAUCCACGAGUUCGCUUGUACAAAGCAGACAUGCAGCCGUUGUUGGUGA
Molecule: long non-coding RNA, 277 nt
Organism: Thalassophryne amazonica
Lineage: Eukaryota; Metazoa; Chordata; Actinopteri; Batrachoidiformes; Batrachoididae
Exons: 3
Source: RefSeq, a predicted model, not a curated record